RNAcentral lists this long non-coding RNA (238 nucleotides) under Elaeis guineensis (African oil palm). Its description in RNAcentral is "long non-coding RNA (EGUI_LNC041530)". The record is from RNAcentral. Lineage: Eukaryota; Viridiplantae; Streptophyta; Magnoliopsida; Arecales; Arecaceae.
AGUGAGAACUAUUGAAAGGUUACAAAAAUCAUCCUUAAGUAUUUGAGAAAUACUAAGGACCAGUGGCUUGUUUAUGAAGAAUCUGACUUGAAAGUCAUGGGAUACAUUGAUUCUAAUUUUCAGUCAAAUCGUGAUGGUAGUAAGAGCAUGUCGAGAUACAUAUUUAUCCUAAAUGGUGGAGAGUCUGUUGAAAAAAUUUCAAGUAGCACACUGUGGCCGACUCAGUAUGUGAGGCAGA